UACGUAGGGUGCAAGCGUUAAUCGGAAUUAUUGGGCGUAAAGGGCGCGUAGGCGGCUGUACAAGUCAAAGGUGAAAUCCCUCGGCUCAACUGAGGAACUGCCUUUGAAACUGUACGGCUUGAGGCCGGGAGGGGGUAGCGGAAUUCCCAGUGUAGCGGUGAAAUGCGUAGAUACUGGGAGGAACACCAGUGGCGAAGGCGGCUACCUGGACCGGUUCUGACGCUGAGGCGCGAAAGCGUGGGUAGCAAACAGG
RNAcentral lists this ribosomal RNA (253 nucleotides) under uncultured bacterium. RNAcentral's name for it is "partial 16S ribosomal RNA". It matches the Rfam family "Bacterial small subunit ribosomal RNA", at positions 524 to 776 of the family's 1533-position model. The record is from RNAcentral.